AGGGUAAUAGUUCAGUGGUAGAACACAUGUUUGCAUGCACAAGGUCCUGGGUUCAAUUCCCAGUAUCUCUA
This 71-nucleotide transfer RNA is filed under the name Camelus bactrianus (Bactrian camel). It matches the Rfam family "tRNA". Rfam says of the family: Transfer RNA (tRNA) molecules are approximately 80 nucleotides in length. Their secondary structure includes four short double-helical elements and three loops (D, anti-codon, and T loops). Lineage: Eukaryota; Metazoa; Chordata; Mammalia; Artiodactyla; Camelidae. RNAcentral also lists the same sequence under 2 other names. The record is from Rfam by way of RNAcentral.